This 70-nucleotide transfer RNA is filed under the name Podarcis lilfordi (Lilford's wall lizard). Its description in RNAcentral is "tRNA.Ala". Lineage: Eukaryota; Metazoa; Chordata; Lepidosauria; Squamata; Lacertidae. The record is from RNAcentral.
GGCCUUGGUUCAGUGGCAGAGUAUCUGCUUUGCGUACAGAAUGUCUCAGGUUCAAUCCCCAGCAUCUCCA